UCCCCUGUAGGACAAAAGCACAAGACAAUAUGGUCAGUUGUCAGGCAUUCAAGUUCAACAAAGAGAGUACAAUGUAUCAAUGUAUCCCACUCUUUUCUAAUGUUACAUCUAUUCCAACUAAUUAUGGAAGGAACCAUGAAAGCUGCUUGCAGUGUUCAGGUAACACUAAUUGGAACCAGCUUUCAGAGAAAGUGGAAAUGCCUUAGGGAGUGUGUCUCAGGUGGUCAGAUACAUGCCAAGGAUAGGGCAGGCCUGUGUUUCAGUCCCAGGGAGGCAGCAAUGUAAAGUGAAAAGACAACGAUUUGUAAUCACAGGUUUAAAAUCUGGCUCUGCCUUGUAUUAGGUUUGUGACUUUGGAUUAGUUUCUUAACAUGUUUUAUAAACAAAUAUAAAAAUAUAUGCCAUAUAGGGCUGUUGAGAAGAGUUCAAAGAGAACAUAUUUCUUUCAUACUUUCAGAAGUUCAGUCCUUCUGAUCCUUUGUAAUCAACUUAUUCAACAAAGUGUCUAGCUCAUUCUAAGCAAAUAUCGUUUGUUACCUUCCCUUCUAUCCUGAUUUGAUUAGAGGAGGUCAAUGUUAUAAAACGGUCUAUUUUAUACUAAUGGGCCCUGGAAGGUCUGCAGGCCCCGCUCUGCAGGGUACUCCCCAAGCCUCCUAAACCCCCUGGAGAGCCUAGGGCUCUCAGGUGACACCUCAGAAUGUUUCUUUCCAAGGGCAGCAACAACGUCGGAACACGUGAGCCAGGGGUCGCUGGGGCUGGAUGCUUGAUGGGUGUGGUAUUGCUUUUGUUGGUGCUGUAAGCAAUUUGCUUCCCACUUCUCUUCCUUUGCCCUCACAGGGCUGUGAGUAAAGAUGCAACAGAAAGAGAAUACUAUACAAUAGUGAAAAUGAAUGACGCAUAGCUACCCUAUCACCAAAGAUGAAUCUCAAAAACAUAAUGCUAAGCUAAAACAAAGCCAAGUUGAAGAAUACAUAAAAUAUGCUUCCAAUUAUAAACAGGCAAAAAGCUAAGCAGUCUUCUGCCAAGGCAGGGGUUCUCAAAGGGUGGUCCCUGGCCAGCAGCUUCCGCGUCACCUGAGAAACUGUUAGAAAUGCAGAUUUUUGGAGUCACUCCACACUUGCUGAGUCAGAAACCUUGGGGUUAGGGUCCAGCAGUCUGUGUCUUAAGCCCUCCAGGUGAUUCUGGUUCAUAAAAAAGUUUGAGGUAUAAACUUAGGGAAACACACUUAUAUAAACCAUUAAGACAAGAGAAGGAUUAACUCUGAAAUUCAGGGUAGUGUUACCUUCUAGGGAUAGUUGUGAAUACGACUGGGGAGGGUCAUGUGGGGAACCUUCAAAGAUACUAGAAACAGGUAUGACUUUUAUUAUUAUCCUUUUAGACUAUAUAUAUACAUUGUAUAUGCUUCCUCAUUUAGCUUAUAUGUUUUAUGAUAAGACAUUUCUAAGUUAAAAAAAAGGUUUACUGCAAAUGAGUCAAGGCAUCCUGUGCCUGAUACCACCUUACUGAUAUGGUAGAAAACACUAGUAAGGCUGAGGAUGUCAUUUAACACUGAAGUUCACCCAAUCCUCUGCUUCUCACCAUUUCACCCCAAAAUGCUGGGAACAGCCAAUCACUAAACAUGCAAGAGAAAGCAUAAGCAUCCUGUAACAGCUGUGUACUCGGCCCUCAUCAGUAAUACUCUGAGCCCUGAGGCCUGGGCUCCUCCGGUCUAUUCCCCUUUGUUUCCUUGCAGAGCUUCCCCUGAUUUUGCUGGGUGUUCACCCCUCAGUGUGACCACCUCCCCAAGGUGACCACCUCCCCAAACUCAGGGGUGAGUGAUCUAAGUUAAUUUGAGUGGUCCCAAUCUCCUGAAUGGUGAUUAGUGUAGCCAGAGACCUGUGAUGGAGCCCUGGCCAGUGAGAUUGGAGAAAUGAGGGUGGGAGAGGGGGAGGUGCUCUAGCUAAAAAUUUCUCAUCUCUAAAAAGAAGCACACAGGAAGAAAUACGCCUCUUCUUUCAAUGGCUGCCAUUAUGUCAAAAGGAAAUGCGCAAAACUGCUGUAGCCAUGCUGACCACAAGGGGCUAAUGAUGACCGUCUGGAAGGACAGAGACCCUGGAGCCCUUAACCCACCGUGGAACUGCCUGACUCCAUACUAGUUAUGUAAAUCAAUAAACCAUGUGCAUUUAAUCUUCUGAUACCUAUAACAGAAACUACCCUGACAGCUUUUCCAGGUCCUUUCUUUCUAGUCACUUGCCCCAAAGUUCAAGUGGGAGGGUGUUAAACAUUGGUAUUAAAGAAAAUACUGUGAUAUCCUGUGUUUGAAUAUCAAGAACGAGGUCAAACUUCGUUGUAUCUUACUCACUGGGAGUUGAUCUUGAAUUUUAAGGAGCUGGGCAGUGAAGCUGUGACAUAUUAACAACAAGAGCCAUAGAAAUAGUGAUUUUUAACCUCGAUUUUUAGGACCAUAUAAUCGGUUAACAAAAAUGUGCACACAUUGCCAGCUUCCCUGAGCUGGAGCCUUUCUCCCUUCCUUUUUUUCUCAAGACGGUGUCAUCAGCCUUCAGGCUUCAGUUUUUUGUCUCCUUGGAAAGGAGGACCCUGACCCAGUCUACUCAUGUUGUAUUGUAACAUGUUUGUUUUCUUCAUAGCACCUAUCAAAGUUUAUUAAUGUACAUUCUUUUUAAAUUGUCCCUCUCUCACCAUGCCUCUUUUGUCCAUGACAAUGCCUGCCAAACAGCAGAUCCUCAAAUAACAUUCAUGGAAUUAGUGAAUGGAUGCACUAUCUUCACUUCUGACCUCUCUCUUCCCUCCUCAGGCAAGAAAACUUAUGCCAAAGCCAUCCAUAUAAUCAAACCACAUGUAAAUAAGUUAGGCUCAGAACAAAUACAAAUUACAUAGUUUUGGGGGAAAAAAAGUUCUACACUGCUUUUGACUAAAGCCUUACAUCUGAGAACUGGAAGAGGUAGGUUUUGAAGUCACCUGAAAGGCAACAUUAAAGCUAGCUCUGUGUUACAUCACUUAUUAUUGGGAAGACACAGGUUCCCAUUAUUUUACACUUGACAACAUAAAUGAGUUGCACAACUCCGUGAUGAUGAGCAGCCUCUGAUGACAGAAGCUUCACUGUGUUUCUGCAGGCAGAAUACACUGAGAGCCAUGUUCCUUGCACCAAUAAGAAAGAAAGGGGCAAAGGGCGGCUAUCAAGGGCAGAACAGAUCAUCUAAACAAUAUAAACAGGGAACUGCUUUUGUAAAAGACAGCCCCAAGUCCCCUUGGACAAGUAAACACCUGUCUAUUCACAACAGAAUAAGUCCUGUUGCUUAAAAAGCAGUUCUCAGUAUCUUUGACUCUUUAAGGGACCUGAGAACACCUGCCCUAAGACAUUUCAUAGAGAAGCCAUUCGCCUUGGUUUGGAUCCCUGCCACCCAGGUAUUUUACUGUUUCAAAGAGUACAAUUAAAAUUACUCUUUGACCCAAAUAAAAACCCUGGCCAUUCUAUAUUUCUCUUAACAAGGUGAUUCCCUAAAUGUAUCAAGAUCACAAGCAUUAGAAGAGCAUUUGCUUCAUCUCUAUUCCCCGCCAUUUUAAAGACAUUUUAUUUGACUCACAGAAUUUAAGGUACACAUAAUUUCUUGGUUCUGAACAAUUAACACUGAAAUCAAAUCAAUCAACUAAAAGAUUUUUAAAUGUCUAACAGUCACUGACAAAUAUUUACUGAGUAUACAGCAAGGCACAAUGCUAGGCAAGCAUCAAUAUGAGUUCUGUUAAGCCUGAAAUUCAACAGUUGGUUUGUAAGACAAGCCAUUGUGUCACCUGAUGACAUCUUGGAAUUCUAGGCAGUAGAAUUCUAUACAUAAAAACGAAAAAUAAUAAAACAAAAGCUACAUCACUGUAGUCCCAACACUAUGUGACCAGAAGAUAGCCAAAUCCUAAUGGGUGGCCUUUGAUCUCAAGGGGCUGAUAAGUUGGAGAACAAAUUAAGGAACAAACUAUGUCAUGGUGAUUCUAGGAGCAAUAGGAAUAAAAAAAGUAGGAAAGAACGCUGGCUAGACUGACUGCAGAGGCUCUGUGAAAGAGGCAGUAUCGAGGAUCUUGAACCAUCAUAAGGAUGUAGACAGGUGGGGAGGGUGGGGGGAGAGGAAGGAAUUCUGAAUCAGCAUGACUAAAGGUGUAGAAGGGACAAUCUCUUAUUUUUUACUCCCUAAAACACUGGGGCUUGGGCUAGUUACUUAUGUCUAUGUGCCUCAGUUUCAUCCUCUGUAAAGUGUAAAAUGUGGGUAUUAAUAGCAUGUACCUAUAGGGUUAUUAGGAAAAUGACAUGAACUAAUACAUAUUGAGUAUUUAGAUUGUGCCUGGCAUACUAAGAGGGGCUCUGGAGAGGCCAACAGAAACUACCCAGUAUGGAACUGAAUCACAGAGAUGAAACUGGCCAAGGAGAACGGAAUGAAAGACAUAAAGGAGUUUAAGGAGAUGCCAAGAACUCUUGACCAAUUUCCAAAAAGAGAGUAUCUCAUUUGGACUGACAUAAUUCAGAAAACACUUCAAGCAACUGUGUUAAAAACUGAGCACAGAGUUAAGGGUUCCUAUAUAAUGUUACAGUAGAAAAGAAAAAUAGUUGUAAGUUUUUGAGGCAGAGCUUCGGCAACUGAGUUUGUUUUCCUGUAAGACGAAUUCCUAAUGACAGAUGGCUGUGGCUGGCUCUCCCCAGUGGCACCACUUUUGAUAAAUGAAGAGCAACAACUCAUUAGGAAAUUUUAACAAGAGAAUUUGAUGACAAAGAGGUGAUCUCCUUUCAUGAUGGUUUGUACAAUUAAAAAUGAAAUUGCUUAAAUGCUUAUUCAAAGUAAACUGUUACUAAAACCACAACUCUUCACAAAAACUCAUCCUCAGAAGCAAAUCUUAACCAGUAAACAAUUCAUGCAAGCCUCCCACACGAAAUAUAAAUACUUCAGUGUAUACACAAUUCAGCCCAACUGUGCAAAAAAUAUUACUGAUCUGCUUACUCUAGCUUAAACAGUAAUAUUCAUGUGGCUGGGGGUAAGAACUUCUCAAGCACACACACAUGCAUCUGGAAGGUAAAAUCUUCCAGAUUCAAACACCACCAAAUCCUGGGAGGUUUUCUUUCUUUUUCUUUUCUUCUUGGCUACUGAAUAAUCUUGAAAGCGCCCUGCCCUUGAUACAACUUCUGAAAGUCCUCUUAUUCUCCUCUUCUCAUAUUCAGUGACAUCUAAUAAUAACUAAACUCCACAACAUUUCAGAGGAAGCAAAAUCAUUAACACGUUGGCAUUCAGGUAUCCCUCAUAUCCACGAAUGUAAUAUGUGAAUUAAUCUAUGAAAGAGCCCAAGAUACCCAAACUGCAUUUUUGUAUAUCAAUUCUAUUUUCUUACUAAAUUCUAUGACAAAGCCCAAGCUGUUAGAGUACAAAUGGAUAAAUUGAGCUCUUAAAGGAAAAUAGGUGACUUUAUAAAAAUAUUAAGUUCUCUUCACGUUACCUUUUGGGUUCUUUAAAGGAUAUACUCACACAUGUGUGUUCACUAUACCUACUUGGUACAGAGCCAUCUGAGAUGAGCAGGUCUGAUUCUGACCUGUUCCUGGGGCAGACAUUUCAGCAGAUCAUCAUCAGUCACAGCAGACCCCGAAAACUUGCCUACUCAUUUGCUAGCAAAUACUUGCUCAGAAUUGGAUGCAACUUUCUGUGCAAUCCUCUAGGAUACUAGACAUUAAUGAACCCAACAAUGAGACCCUGGGAAGGUCCUCAACCCCUUUGGGCCUCUGCCUCUGAUGGGGAGCGACAAGGCCCCCACCUACCCCCACCUACCUGUUUCCUGCAAGGGGGGAAAAAGACAAGAAUGAGAUAAUGUCUGCAGAGUCCAAUGCAGCUUUUGUCUUUUCUGUUAGUUACUAUCUAACCACUAUCUUGACUUCAAAACUGCCUGAAACACAAAUAAAUCUUUACAAACUGUUUCUUAAGACUUAGGGGAUUUUGUUUUGUCGGUCUGCAGCCGUUUUCUUUAAUCAAGAAAUAGCAGACAUCAGACUUAACUGAGAUCAACCUGGGCAAUCCAGCCAAGGUUAAGUCACUCUCUCUUUGCUUAGGCUUAUUCCAGAACCCUGGGGAAUCGCUUCACCUCUUGGUGCCCUCACCUUGCAUGUAGAGUGAUGAUAGUGUCCCCACCUACCUGUUUCUUAUAAAUCAGGGUGAAAGAGAAGGACAAUGAGAUAAUGUUUGUAAAGAGCUGGGCGCCUACAGAAUAAAAGCUCUCAUUAAUACACGUAUAUAAAGGCUCUUAUUGACACACGAUUUAACUCUGGACAAACAUGGGGUAUCACUUCAAACCAAAGGCCUCCUUAUACAAAGGAAGAAAUUAAGAGUAGGAAACAUUGUAGCACUGUGGCUGUAUGGCACUCCCUUAUGAGAACACAUUGUAGGAAUGUGAAGAUGGGCAAAAAAAUGCAGUGCCAACAAGCGCCAGUCUCGUUCUCGGGGACAGUUCUGACCUGCUUCACCACGAGACUUGGUACAGCCACUCAGAGACCAGCAGAGACAGACCUGCUGCACGAUUCCUAGGUGGUGUUCCUGAAUCCUCUGGAUUGCCACCAUUUUGCAGGGCUGAUUUACUGUGUCAAGGAACAGGCUUACAGCAGUGGAAGCUGUAAAACGAACUAUCAGCGACUGAGAGGGGAACAGAAUACGCUAAUUUUUAUCAAAGUGCAAACGGGCUUCUUUCUAAGGCAUCUUUUCUCCUCAUUGCCUCCAUCUGAAAGAUUUAGUCAACUUAACAUUUGUGUCUGUCAACAGCUUUGAGAAGCUGCUGGUGACCCCAGUAACCCUCGGGAAGAAUGAAGCUGUUUGAAGAAAGGAAGGCACCAGGGGAAUUGGAUGUGCAGAAGUUCCCAAACCACAAUCAGCCAACAACCAAAUACUGUUGUUGCGAGUCUGACCGCAGCCCACUGUCACUGGCCUUCUUGACCUUGUGGUCUAUCACUGGCAUCCAAGGCCUUUGUUUCCUGACUUGACCUGUGCUACCCAGACAUGUGAGAAACAGAACCUUAUCUCCGCAGACUAUUUAAAACCUUAGUGCGUGACCUUUCGCGAAUUAAAACAAAGACACUGCUAAACAAACAGAAUAAAACAACUAGUAUGCAACUGA
Molecule: long non-coding RNA, 7128 nt
Organism: Felis catus (domestic cat)
Lineage: Eukaryota; Metazoa; Chordata; Mammalia; Carnivora; Felidae
Exons: 2
Source: RefSeq, a predicted model, not a curated record